AGAGUUUGAUCAUGGCUCAGGACGAACGUUGGUGGCGUGCUUAACACAUGCAAGUCGAACGGUUUGGUGGUGGGUGGUUAGUGGUUAGUCUUUGGGGUUUUUUCUCCUAACGACUAAUCACCAACCACUUACCACCAAAUAGUGGCGGACGGGUGAGUAACGCGUGGAUAAUCUGCCUGUAAGACAGGGAUAACGCCGGGAAACCGGUGCUAAUACCCGAUAACCUCUUUGAAUCGCAUGAUUUAAAGAGAAAAGGUGGCCUCUUUACAAUGCUACCACUUACAGAUGAAUCCGCGUCCCAUUAGCCAGUUGGUGGGGUAAAGGCCUACCAAAGCGACGAUGGGUAGCCGGCCUGAGAGGGUGACCGGCCACACUGGAACUGAGAUACGGUCCAGACUCCUACGGGAGGCAGCAGUGGGGAAUCUUCCGCAAUGGGCGAAAGCCUGACGGAGCAACGCCGCGUGAGCGAAGAAGGUCUUCGGAUUGUAAAGCUCUGUGAUAUUGGACGAACAAUUUCCCGUAAAUAAUGGGAAGGAAUGACGGUACAAUAAGAGGAAGCCACGGCUAACUACGUGCCAGCAGCCGCGGUA
RNAcentral lists this ribosomal RNA (590 nucleotides) under uncultured Desulfotomaculum sp. RNAcentral describes it as "bacterial SSU rRNA". It matches the Rfam family "Bacterial small subunit ribosomal RNA", at positions 8 to 522 of the family's 1533-position model. The record is from RNAcentral. Lineage: Bacteria; Bacillati; Bacillota; Clostridia; Eubacteriales; Desulfotomaculaceae.